Molecule: long non-coding RNA, 811 nt
Filed under: Diabrotica virgifera virgifera (western corn rootworm)
Lineage: Eukaryota; Metazoa; Arthropoda; Insecta; Coleoptera; Chrysomelidae
Description: uncharacterized LOC126892662
Source: RNAcentral
UUAAACUGACGUUUACUAGAACCCUAACAACACACAACAUUCCAGGAAUGUACUACCAAAGUUCUAUCAAUAUUUGAAUGUCCUGGACAUUUAGGGAACAUUCGGUGAACAUCUGAUUAAAUUAUUCGUGGAAUGUUACCAUAAGACAUUCUGUGAACAUACUACCAAUGUUCCUAUAUGUUCAUUUUCAAAUUCACGGCGCAUGUAUUUGUGCAUGGUGCUUAGAGAGGGCAUCACGUGACUAAAAACGACCAAUGACCUCACUUCAGACUUCGGUGCUUCGGCCAUCUUGACAUGCAUCUUGGCCUUGGCCACCUUGCCGUGCGUGAUCGUUGUUUGUUUUUAUUUGUGCUUUUUAAGAAUAUUUUUUAAUUCGGAUACUUUUAUAAUAACUUUAAUAGUAUUAUUAAUAUAGUGCAUAAAAUCAGUUGGAGUAGCAGAAGCAAUGUAGAUAAAAAAUCUGCAGGAAUAAUGUUUCAAAGCUUUCCAGAAGAUCCUGCAAAUAAGGCAUGAAGUAUUGAUCAGAUUUGUUAAUAGAGCAGUAUGUUCAAAACAUUUUUUAGAAAAAGAUAUUGACAGAACUUCACUUUCAACCGUUUGAGAGACUGUGCUGUUCCAAUAGCUUAUAUCACACAGAAUCAGCUGAGAGAAGUGGUCUACAAAAAACCAGGAAGGAAAUGGAAUAUGUGGCUAUGAAAGGCAAAAGAAAGGUUUACAAAGCAAAUGUGACAAAUUUUUUUAUAGGAAUAUCAGUAAAUUACAUUAAAAAAAUGUAUGAAAAGAUUUUUUGCAAUAAAAAUGUUUAUAUUUA